AGCAGUCGCCGCGGUAAUACGGAGGGUGCAAGCGUUAAUCGGAAUUACUGGGCGUAAAGCGCACGCAGGCGGUCUGUCAAGUCAGAUGUGAAAUCCCCGGGCUUAACCUGGGAACUGCAUUUGAAACUGGCAGGCUAGAGUCUUGUAGAGGGGGGUAGAAUUCCAGGUGUAGCGGUGAAAUGCGUAGAGAUCUGGAGGAAUACCGGUGGCGAAGGCGGCCCCCUGGACAAAGACUGACGCUCAGGUGCGAAAGCGUGGGGAGCAAACAGGAUUAGAUACCCGCGUAGUCCCUGUCUCUUAUAC
Molecule: ribosomal RNA, 303 nt
Filed under: uncultured bacterium
Lineage: Bacteria
Description: partial 16S ribosomal RNA
Rfam family: Bacterial small subunit ribosomal RNA
Source: RNAcentral